UCCCUGGUAGUAUAUCGGUUAGUACACGCGCCUGUCAUGGUUGCGGUUGAGCCAGUUAUUUGCGCGCGAAAGCUGGGUUCGACUCCCAGCCAGGGAG
Molecule: non-coding RNA, 97 nt
Organism: Gymnopus androsaceus JB14
Lineage: Eukaryota; Fungi; Basidiomycota; Agaricomycetes; Agaricales; Omphalotaceae
Source: the annotation of a GenBank genome assembly